Molecule: ribosomal RNA, 492 nt
Filed under: uncultured bacterium
Lineage: Bacteria
Description: partial 16S ribosomal RNA
Rfam family: Bacterial small subunit ribosomal RNA
Source: RNAcentral
AGUGAACGCUGGCGGUAGGCCUAACACAUGCAAGUCGAACGGCAGCACAGUAAGAGCUUGCUCUUACGGGUGGCGAGUGGCGGACGGGUGCGGAAUACAUCGGAAUCUACUUUUUCGUGGGGGAUAACGUAGGGAAACUUACGCUAAUACCGCAUACGACCUACGGGUGAAAGCAGGGGAUCUUCGGACCUUGCGCGAUUGAAUGAGCCGAUGUCGGAUUAGCUAGUUGGCGGGGUAAAGGCCCACCAAGGCGACGAUCCGUAGCUGGUCUGAGAGGAUGAUCAGCCACACUGGAACUGAGACACGGUCCAGACUCCUACGGGAGGCAGCAGUGGGGAAUAUUGGACAAUGGGCGCAAGCCUGAUCCAGCCAUACCGCGUGGGUGAAGAAGGCCUUCGGGUUGUAAAGCCCUUUUGUCGGGAAAGAAAAGCAGCAGGUUAAUACCCCGCUGUUCUGACGGUACCCAAAGAAUAAGCACCGGCUAACUUCGUG